This 254-nucleotide ribosomal RNA is filed under the name uncultured bacterium. RNAcentral's name for it is "partial 16S ribosomal RNA". It matches the Rfam family "Bacterial small subunit ribosomal RNA", at positions 524 to 776 of the family's 1533-position model. The record is from RNAcentral.
GACGGAGGGUGCAAGCGUUUGUUCGGAAUUACUGGGCGUAAAGCGCGGGCAGGUGGCCUUUUAAGUCCUUUGUGAAAUUCCGGAGCUCAACUCCGGAUGUGCAUAGGAUACUGGAAGGCUAGAGACUGGUAGAGGCGAGCGGAAUUCCUGGUGUAGCGGUGAAAUGCGCAGAUAUCAGGAGGAACACCGGUGGCGAAGGCGGCGACCUGGGUCGAGACUGACGCUGAGGCGCGAAAGCGUGGGGAGCAAACAGG